AAUACGUUUUUUCUGUCGCAUGGCAGAGAGAAGAAAGGGAGGCUCUUCGGAGCUUUCGCUGGAGGAGGGGCUUGCGUCUGAUUAGCUAGUUGGAGGGGUAACGGCCCACCAAGGCGACGAUCAGUAGCCGGUCUGAGAGGAUGAACGGCCACAUUGGGACUGAGACACGGCCCAGACUCCUACGGGAGGCAGCAGUGGGGAAUCUUCCGCAAUGGACGAAAGUCUGACGGAGCAACGCCGCGUGAACGAUGACGGCCUUCGGGUUGUAAAGUUCUGUUAUACGGGACGAAUGGUACGACGGUCAAUACCCGUCGUAAGUGACGGUACCGUAAGAGAAAGCCACGGCUAACUACGUGCCAGCAGCCGCGGUAAUACGUAGGUGGCAAGCGUUGUCCGGAAUUAUUGGGCGUAAAGGGCGCGCAGGCGGCGUCGUAAGUCGGUCUUAAAAGUGCGGGGCUUAACCCCGUGAGGGGACCGAAACUGCGAUGCUAGAGUAUCGGAGAGGAAAGCGGAAUUCCU
RNAcentral lists this ribosomal RNA (519 nucleotides) under uncultured bacterium. Its description in RNAcentral is "bacterial SSU rRNA". It matches the Rfam family "Bacterial small subunit ribosomal RNA", at positions 172 to 671 of the family's 1533-position model. The record is from RNAcentral.